RNAcentral lists this ribosomal RNA (549 nucleotides) under Triticum aestivum (bread wheat). Its description in RNAcentral is "partial small subunit ribosomal RNA". Lineage: Eukaryota; Viridiplantae; Streptophyta; Magnoliopsida; Poales; Poaceae. The record is from RNAcentral.
AUGGAGAUCCACAAGGAGGGUGCGCAGCAAGGGCGGGCACCGGAGGCUGCGGAGGCGCCGGAGCAGUGGCGUGGCGCCGUGGAGGCCCCGCUGCCGGGCACGCCGGCGGGCGCCGCGUGGGCUCAUGUCGCCAGCUUCUUCUCCGCGCACCUCUACCUGCCGGGCAUCGACGUGUGCGAGCGCGUAUCGGGAGCCAGCAGCGAGGAGGACGAAGAUGGCAGGCUGGUGAUCACCCCCGGCUGCGUCCGGCACGUGGCCUCGAGCGCCGCGGGGCUGUGGGCGCGCGAGGAGCUGCUGGAGGCAGACCACGCCGCGCGGCGCCUCCGCUACGCCGUCGUCGACAGCAACAUGGGGUUCGGCCGCUACGUCGCCACGCUCCGCGUCCUGGACCUCGACGGCGGCGAAGGCGGGUGCAUGAUCUCGUGGGCGUUCGAGUGCGACGCCGUGAAGAGCGAGGGGUGGAGCGAGGCGGCGCUCGUGGCGCGCCUCGGCGCCAGCGUCAAGGGCAUGGCCGAGAGGGUGCAACAGCUGGCCGCGGUAGCUCAGUAG